GUAACAGGAAACAGCUUGCUGUUUCGCUGACGAGUGGCGGACGGGUGAGUAAUGUCUGGGAAACUGCCUGAUGGAGGGGGAUAACUACUGGAAACGGUAGCUAAUACCGCAUAACGUCGCAAGACCAAAGAGGGGGACCUUCGGGCCUCUUGCCAUCAGAUGUGCCCAGAUGGGAUUAGCUAGUAGGUGGGGUAACGGCUCACCUAGGCGACGAUCCCUAGCUGGUCUGAGAGGAUGACCAGCCACACUGGAACUGAGACACGGUCCAGACUCCUACGGGAGGCAGCAGUGGGGAAUAUUGCACAAUGGGCGCAAGCCUGAUGCAGCCAUGCCGCGUGUAUGAAGAAGGCCUUCGGGUUGUAAAGUACUUUCAGCGGGGAGGAAGGGAGUAAAGUUAAUACCUUUGCUCAUUGACGUUACCCGCAGAAGAAGCACCGGCUAACUCCGUGCCAGCAGCCGCGGUAAUACGGAGGGUGCAAGCGUUAAUCGGAAUUACUGGGCGUAAAGCGCACGCAGGCGGUUUGUUAAGUCAGAUGUGAAAUCCCCGGGCUCAACCUGGGAACUGCAUCUGAUACUGGCAAGCUUGAGUCUCGUAGAGGGGGGUAGAAUUCCAGGUGUAGCGGUGAAAUGCGUAGAGAUCUGGAGGAAUACCGGUGGCGAAGGCG
Molecule: ribosomal RNA, 665 nt
Filed under: uncultured Pseudomonadota bacterium
Lineage: Bacteria; Pseudomonadati; Pseudomonadota
Description: bacterial SSU rRNA
Rfam family: Bacterial small subunit ribosomal RNA
Source: RNAcentral